RNAcentral lists this ribosomal RNA (408 nucleotides) under uncultured bacterium. RNAcentral's name for it is "partial 16S ribosomal RNA". It matches the Rfam family "Bacterial small subunit ribosomal RNA", at positions 28 to 526 of the family's 1533-position model. The record is from RNAcentral.
GACGAACGCUGGCGGCGUGCUUAACACAUGCAAGUCGAACGAAGUGGCGAACGGGUGAGUAACGCGUAAUCAACCUGCCCUUCAGCGGGGGACCACAGUUGGACACGACUGCUAAUACCGCAUACUUCAGGUGGUGAUUGCGUCUGAUUAGCUAGUUGGAGGGGUAACGGACCACCAAGGCGAUGAUCAGUAGCCGGUAUGAGAGGAUGAAGGGCCACAUUGGGACUGGGACACGGCCCAGACGCCUACGGGAGGCAGCAGUGGGGAAUCUUCCGCAAUGGACGAAAGUCUGACGUCGCAACGCCGCGUGAGUGAUGACGGCCUUCGGGUUGGAAAGCUCUGUUAAUCGGGACGCGGUACCGGAAUAGAAAGCCACGGCUAACUACGUGCCAGCAGCCGCGGUAAUAC